GGAAAUCGACCGGCCAGGCGGUGCGCUUCGGAUCCAGCCAGGGCAUGUGCUCGGAUGCCCGCCUGGCUCGCAGGGCGGUAGAGGAGCUGCUGCGCUGCGGCGCGGACCCUAAUUUGGUGCUGGAGGACGGCGCAGCGGCUGUGCACUUGGCGGCCGGAGCCCGGCACCCACGCGGCCUGCGUUGCCUCGGGGCCCUACUGCGCCAAGGCGGGGACCCCAACGCUCGAUCUGUCGAGGCACUGACGCCGCUGCAUGUGGCCGCCGCCUGGGGCUGCCGCCGCGGCCUGGAGCUGCUGCUGAGCCAAGGAGCGGACCCGGCGCUGCGCGACCAGGUUGGGAGGCACUGCGCGGGCAAAGAAAGGCUGGGUGAGCGCAGAGGGAGGGAAGGAAGGUAAGAGGGCCUCGGGCGCCCCCUGCUGACCGAGCCCCUGUAGGACGGACUCCGGCCGCUGGACCUGGCCCUGCAGCAGGGACACCUGGAGUGCGUGCAAGUCCUGCAGGAUCUCGACACGCGGACCGGGACCCGGACCCGGAUCGGGGCAGAGACCCAGGAGCCCGAGCCUGCACCUGGCACUGCAAGCCUCUCUGGACCUCCCGAUAAGACGCUGGACUCCAUAGCACUCCAAAAGCAGCCAUGCAGAGGUGACAACAGGGACAUUGGCUUGGAGGCUGACCCAGGACCCCCCAGCCUCCCUGUUCCCCUUGAAAUUGUGGACAAAGAUGGGAGCUCGGCGUCCCCUCCAGGGCACUGGGAUUACAGCUCAGACGCUUCUUUCGUCACAGCGGUUGAGGUCUCUGGAGCUGAGGACCCAGCCUGGGACACUCCCCCCUGGGCUGGGUCAUUGCCACCGACCAGGCAGGGACUUCUGCAUGUUGUCCAUGCCAACCAGAGGGUACCUAGGUCUCAGGGCACGGAGGCAGAACUGAAUGCCCGUCUGCAGGCCCUGACUCUGACCCCACCAAAUGCUGCUGGCUUCCAGUCCUCUCCUUCCUCCAUGCCUCUCCUGGACAGGAGUCCAGCUCAUAGCCCCCCACAGACACCACCCCCUGGAGCUUCUGACUGCCACUGCCUGUGGGAGCACCAGACAUCCAUUGAUAGUGACAUGGCCAACUUCUGGCUGACAGAGGAUGAGGCAAGCUCUACAGGUGGCAGAGACCCUGACGGCCCUUGCCGGCACCUGCCAGUCUCCACUGUGUCUGACUUGGAGUUGCUGAAGGGACUCCGAGUGCUUGGUGAGAAUCCUGGCCCCAUCACACCCUUCACUGGGCGGUUCUACCUCCAGCGGCUGGAAGAAGCCCAGAUUGCUCCUGGCCCAGAGUUUUCAGGGCACAGCCUAGAACUGGCUGCAGCCCUGCGGACGGGCCGUAUUCCAGACGUCCAGGCAGAUGAAGACGCGCUGGCCCAGCAGUUUGAGCGGCCAGAUCCUGCCAGGAGGUGGCGGGAGGGGGUCGUGAAGUCUAGCUUCACGUAUCUGCUGCUGGACCCCAGGGAGACUCAGGACCUGCCAGCCCGAGCCUUCUCCCUGACCCCGGCUGAGCGCCUUCAGACUUUCGUCCGUGCCAUCUUCUACGUGGGCAAAGGGAUGAGGGCCCGGCCAUAUGUCCACCUCUGGGAGGCCCUUGGUCACCAUGGGCGGUCAAGAAAACAGCCCCCCCCCGGCCUGCCCCAAGGUGCGUCAGAUCUUGGACAUCUGGGCCAGUGGUUGCGGCGUUGUGUCCCUACAUUGCUUCCAGCACGUGGUCGCUGUGGAGGCUUAUACGCGGGAGGCAUGUAUUGUGGAAGCCCUAGGGAUCCAGACGCUCACCAACCAGAAACAAGGGCACUGCUAUGGAGUGGUGGCAGGCUGGCCACCUGCUCGUCGCCGGCGCUUGGGGGUGCACCUGCUGCACCGUGCCCUCCUUGUCUUCCUGGCUGAAGGCGAGCGACAGCUUCGUCCCCAGGACAUCCAGGCCCGGGGCUGAGUGCUGGGGAGUUGGCCAUCCAGCCUGGGGAGAAAUGUUUGAAUGUUCCAGCUGCCCCGUGCAGAUCUCCCCCAGGCUGAGGGAGGACUUUGUUACAGAUGGUACUGCUGGAGAGGUAGUAAGUAGUGAGCUCCCCAUCGUGGGAGGAGGACAAGAAGGGAAGCAGAAGGUGCUUUGGAACAGUCCGG
This 2150-nucleotide small RNA is filed under the name Pongo abelii (Sumatran orangutan). RNAcentral's name for it is "retained intron". Lineage: Eukaryota; Metazoa; Chordata; Mammalia; Primates; Hominidae. The record is from RNAcentral.